UGAGGAAUAUUCCACAAUGGGCGAAAGCCUGAUGGAGCGACGCCGCGUGAAGGAAGAAGGCCUUCGGGUUGUAAACUUCUUUUUUUGGGGAUGACACACUUCCGCAAGGGAGUUACGACAGUACCCAAAGAAUAAGCCUCGGCUAACUACGUGCCAGCAGCCGCGGUAAUACGUAGGAGGCGAGCGUUGUCCGGAUUUACUGGGCGUAAAGCGCGCGCAGGCGGCACUUCAAGUACGGUGUGAAAUCUCCCUGCUCAACGGGGAGGGUGCAUUGUAAACUGGAGAGCUAGAGGACGGUAGAGGGGGGUAGAAUUGCUGGUGUAGCGGUGAAAUGCGUAGAGAUCAGCAGGAAUACCCGUGGCGAAGGCGGCCCCCUGGGCCGAACCUGACGCUGAGGCGCGAAGGCUAGGGGAGCGAACGG
RNAcentral lists this ribosomal RNA (421 nucleotides) under uncultured bacterium. RNAcentral describes it as "bacterial SSU rRNA". It matches the Rfam family "Bacterial small subunit ribosomal RNA", at positions 355 to 775 of the family's 1533-position model. The record is from RNAcentral.